ACCCUCUCAGGGUCAUGCCUGGAGAGUUUUCAGUCCUCUACCGGCCCCGGCUAUGGGAGGGAGAGUCAAACAGAGACCUACCCAUUCCAUUUCUAGCUUGGGCAGUGGCUUGAGAGUGGAAGGCAAUCUGCUACAAAU
Molecule: small nucleolar RNA, 138 nt
Organism: Tachyglossus aculeatus (Australian echidna)
Lineage: Eukaryota; Metazoa; Chordata; Mammalia; Monotremata; Tachyglossidae
Source: RefSeq, a predicted model, not a curated record